Molecule: non-coding RNA, 703 nt
Filed under: Crassisporium funariophilum
Lineage: Eukaryota; Fungi; Basidiomycota; Agaricomycetes; Agaricales; Crassisporiaceae
Description: sequence contains ITS1, 5.8S rRNA gene, ITS2, 28S rRNA gene
Rfam family: 5.8S ribosomal RNA (bases 260-413)
Source: RNAcentral
CUGCGGCAGGAUCAUUAUUGAAUAAACCUGAUGGGUUGUAGCUGGCUCCCUCGGGGGCAUGUGCACACCUGUCGUCUUUAUAUCUCCACCUGUGCACCUCUUGUAGACCUGGAUGACUUUCCGAGGCAACUCGGUUCGGAGGACUGCUGCGCGUCUCACGAUGCCGGCUUUCCUUGCAUUUUCCAGGCCUAUGUUUUUCAUAUACCCCAUCGUAUGUAACAGAAUGUAUCAUUGGGCCUUGUGCCUAUAAACUAUAUACAACUUUCAGCAACGGAUCUCUUGGCUCUCGCAUCGAUGAAGAACGCAGCGAAAUGCGAUAAGUAAUGUGAAUUGCAGAAUUCAGUGAAUCAUCGAAUCUUUGAACGCACCUUGCGCUCCUUGGUAUUCCGAGGAGCAUGCCUGUUUGAGUGUCAUUAAAUUCUCAACCUUACCAGUUUUUACAAAGCUCGGUCUGGCUUGGACUUGGGGGUAUUUUGCGGGCUUCUAACGAGGUCGGCUCCCCUUAAAUGCAUUAGCGGCGCCCCGCGUGGACCCGUCUAUUGGUGUGAUAAUUAUCUACGCCGUGGACAUCCACUUUAAAAUGGGUUGUGCUGCUUCUAACCGUCCUUCUAUGGACAACAUAAAUGACAAUUUGACCUCAAAUCAGGUAGGACUACCCGCUGAACUUAAGCAUAUCAUAAGCCCGAAGGAAAAAAAAUUUAGG